UGGGGAAUAUUGCACAAUGGAGGAAACUCUGAUGCAGCGACGCCGCGUGAGUGAAGAAGUAAUUCGUUAUGUAAAGCUCUAUCAGCAGGGAAGAUAGUGACGGUACCUGACUAAGAAGCUCCGGCUAAAUACGUGCCAGCAGCCGCGGUAAUACGUAUGGAGCAAGCGUUAUCCGGAUUUACUGGGUGUAAAGGGAGUGUAGGUGGCAUCACAAGUCAGAAGUGAAAGCCCGGGGCUCAACCCCGGGACUGCUUUUGAAACUGUGGAGCUAGAGUGCAGGAGGGGCAAGUGGAAUUCCUAGUGUAGCGGUGAAAUGCGUAGAUAUUAGGAGGAACACCAGUGGCGAAGGCGGCUUGCUGGACUGUAACUGACACUGAGGCUCGAAAGCGUGGGGAGCAAACAGG
RNAcentral lists this ribosomal RNA (404 nucleotides) under uncultured bacterium. RNAcentral's name for it is "bacterial SSU rRNA". It matches the Rfam family "Bacterial small subunit ribosomal RNA", at positions 355 to 776 of the family's 1533-position model. The record is from RNAcentral.